AACGAACGCUGGCGGCAUGCCUAACACAUGCAAGUCGAACGAGACCUUCGGGUCUAGUGGCGCACGGGUGCGUAACGCGUGGGAACCUGCCCUUAGGUUCGGAAUAACUCAGAGAAAUUUGAGCUAAUACCGGAUAAUGUCUUCGGACCAAAGAUUUAUCGCCUUUGGAUGGGCCCGCGUAGGAUUAGCUUGUUGGUGGGGUAAUGGCCUACCAAGGCGACGAUCCUUAGCUGGUCUGAGAGGAUGACCAGCCACACUGGGACUGAGACACGGCCCAGACUCCUACGGGAGGCAGCAGUGGGGAAUAUUGGACAAUGGGCGAAAGCCUGAUCCAGCAAUGCCGCGUGAGUGAUGAAGGCCUUAGGGUUGUAAAGCUCUUUUACCAGGGAUGAUAAUGACAGUACCUGGAGAAUAAGCUCCGGCUAACUCCGUG
RNAcentral lists this ribosomal RNA (433 nucleotides) under uncultured bacterium. Its description in RNAcentral is "partial 16S ribosomal RNA". It matches the Rfam family "Bacterial small subunit ribosomal RNA", at positions 29 to 507 of the family's 1533-position model. The record is from RNAcentral.